GAAGAAGCGUGCCUGGUGUGUGAUGUUGUUCUCCUCCAUCACGCGGCGCCUGUCCCGCUGCAGCUGCUCGAUCUGACCCUUCUGCGCCUCAGCUGCCGCCACGUUGCCCUCCUCCAGGUACCGCUGGUCGGGCCGCAGACGCGUGUCGGUGGAGGGCAGCACCCUGCGCAGCUCCGGCGUGAGCUCGUUCAGCUCCAGCGCAAACUGGGUGAAGCCGUAGUUCCGCUCGUGGUCGGGGGGCAUAGAGUUGGCUCUCCAGACGCACUGCCCUGGGGCUGGCCCACGGAACAGCCCUUCGUGCCAUUUGCCGGCCAGGCGCUCCACCACGGCCCCGCUGCGGCUCAGCACCGCGCCCUGCACCUCGUUGGCACCCGCGCCCCAGUACCGCGCCUUGCAGAAGGUGAUCUUGC
RNAcentral lists this long non-coding RNA (410 nucleotides) under Gallus gallus (chicken). The record is from RNAcentral. Lineage: Eukaryota; Metazoa; Chordata; Aves; Galliformes; Phasianidae.